Molecule: non-coding RNA, 1060 nt
Organism: Oryzias latipes (Japanese medaka)
Lineage: Eukaryota; Metazoa; Chordata; Actinopteri; Beloniformes; Adrianichthyidae
Source: RefSeq, a predicted model, not a curated record
GCUUCAGUGUGCUCCAGCAGCCUCCGGCUCGAACAAAAAGCUACUGUGUUUAUGUCAAAACAAGCUACAGGGAAACGUCUGUUUAGAAAGCGGAGCAGUGGAGAGAGAAGGGGGUUCUGAGGGUCCAAAUGUGGCCCCCUGGCUACAUAUGGUAGCGCGCAGACGAGCAGCGCCGACGGCCGCUAAAAAUAGAGCAGCAUCACAUCAACCUUCUCCUCCUGGCCGCUGAUCUCGUUUCACUGCCCACCAGCUUUUAAUCUUCUCUGGUUGGCAUGGCCACAACCCUCCCAGGCCCCCCAACCCGACCGGGAGCUCGCAUCUAAGCACCGAACGUCAGAGAGAGAGUCCGGCAUGACCUCCGCAGGCGGCCCUGUCAGCUUUUGAGCUCGCGGCCCGAAAGAAGCAACGAGGCGUAUGCAGAGAAAUAUAUACACAGACGCUAAAGAUCCACCGCCACGCACGCGGGGAUGGAAACCAGCAAAAAGGCCGCCGGGAGAAACAAUAUUAAAACCAGACUAACCCUGCUUGGCGUCCAUCUUGAACCUCAGCUUGCGGUAGCUGGGAGGCUCCGCCCACUCCGCGCACGCGGAGAGGGGGUUCAGUCAAGUUUCAUGUCCAGCUGGGAACCAGUUUUCAUAAUUCACUCAGCUGAUGGAGACUAAAUGGUCUGAGGCGAAACAUUACCAGGGAUGGGAAAGAAGUAUGGCGUGCUGUGACGGAGCCAUUCAACUGUGUGAUAUUAUAAAGAGAUGGCUGUUCUAAUGGUGGUGAAGAUGAAGAGGAGGUGUUGCAUAACAGGGCUGUAAAUGUAAGUCAAGGCUUUAGAGAUAAGCAGGAAUUCAAAUCUACCCAGCUAGAACAGAAGUCAACUUUUGAUCGGCUCUACUCAAAAUCCAUAAAAGGAGGAUUGGGCAGUCCAGGUGUACCAUAGGAAAGUCUCACCAGCCUCACAGAGGAGCUUCUCUUCAACAGACUGUUAUCAAAAACCCAAGACUUCUUGAAUUAUUUCAGAAACUACAACUGCACUUUGAUUAAAUGACCCACAAUGUCUUAACAAUGA